RNAcentral lists this transfer RNA (64 nucleotides) under Conotrachelus sp. KM-2017. RNAcentral describes it as "tRNA-Phe". Lineage: Eukaryota; Metazoa; Arthropoda; Insecta; Coleoptera; Curculionidae. The record is from RNAcentral.
AUCUAAAUAGCUUAUAUAGAGUAUAGCAUUGAAGAUGCUAGGGAAAUAAAAUUAUUUUUAGAUA